RNAcentral lists this transfer RNA (75 nucleotides) under Rhizoclosmatium globosum. It matches the Rfam family "tRNA". From Rfam's summary of the family: Transfer RNA (tRNA) molecules are approximately 80 nucleotides in length. Their secondary structure includes four short double-helical elements and three loops (D, anti-codon, and T loops). Further hydrogen bonds mediate the characteristic L-shaped molecular structure. tRNAs have two regions of fundamental functional importance: the anti-codon, which is responsible for specific mRNA codon recognition, and the 3' end, to which the tRNAs corresponding amino acid is attached (by aminoacyl-tRNA synthetases). tRNAs cope with the degeneracy of the genetic code in two manners: having more than one tRNA (with a specific anti-codon) for a particular amino acid; and 'wobble' base-pairing, i.e. permitting non-standard base-pairing at the 3rd anti-codon position. Lineage: Eukaryota; Fungi; Chytridiomycota; Chytridiomycetes; Chytridiales; Chytriomycetaceae. The record is from Rfam by way of RNAcentral.
GCUUUAUUGUGCUCAGCUGGUAGUAGCGUGGGGCUGUUAACCUCAAGGUCACUGGUUCGAUCCCAGUAUCGAGCG